Molecule: transfer RNA, 73 nt
Filed under: Treponema sp.
Lineage: Bacteria; Pseudomonadati; Spirochaetota; Spirochaetia; Treponematales; Treponemataceae
Also listed under: 3 other names
Description: tRNA-Cys
Rfam family: tRNA
About the family: Transfer RNA (tRNA) molecules are approximately 80 nucleotides in length. Their secondary structure includes four short double-helical elements and three loops (D, anti-codon, and T loops).
Source: RNAcentral
GGCGUCUUACCCAAGUGGCUAAGGGAACGGUCUGCAAAACCGUGAUUGAACAGUUCGAUUCUGUUAGACGCCU